GGGGUCAUAGCUCAGUUGGUAGAGUAUUUGAAUGGCAUUCAAAAGGUUAGGGGUUCGAUUCCCCUUGACUCCACCA
This 76-nucleotide transfer RNA is filed under the name Rickettsia prowazekii. RNAcentral's name for it is "tRNA-Ala". It matches the Rfam family "tRNA". From Rfam's summary of the family: Transfer RNA (tRNA) molecules are approximately 80 nucleotides in length. Their secondary structure includes four short double-helical elements and three loops (D, anti-codon, and T loops). Further hydrogen bonds mediate the characteristic L-shaped molecular structure. tRNAs have two regions of fundamental functional importance: the anti-codon, which is responsible for specific mRNA codon recognition, and the 3' end, to which the tRNAs corresponding amino acid is attached (by aminoacyl-tRNA synthetases). tRNAs cope with the degeneracy of the genetic code in two manners: having more than one tRNA (with a specific anti-codon) for a particular amino acid; and 'wobble' base-pairing, i.e. permitting non-standard base-pairing at the 3rd anti-codon position. RNAcentral also lists the same sequence under 11 other names. Lineage: Bacteria; Pseudomonadati; Pseudomonadota; Alphaproteobacteria; Rickettsiales; Rickettsiaceae. The record is from RNAcentral.